UUGGAGGGCAAGUCUGGUGCCAGCAGCCGCGGUAAUUCCAGCUCCAAUAGCGUAUAUUAAAGUUGUUGCAGUUAAAAAGCUCGUAGUUGAAUUUCGGGGUUCUACCGUUGGUCGGACUUUGUCUGUACUGGUGUGUAGAAUUUCUACCUUCUGGGGAACCAUCAUGCUAUUAAUUUAGCGUGGUGGGAAACCAGGACCUUUACCUUGAAAAAAUUAGUGUGUCCAAAGCAGGCUUAUGUCUGAAUACAUUAGCGUGGAAUAAUAGAAUAGGACGGUGGUCCUGUUUUGUUGGUUUCUGAAUCGCCGUAAUGAUUAAUAGGGAUAGUUGGGGGCAUUAGUAUUCAAUUGUCAGAGGUGAAAUUCUUGGAUUUAUUGAAGACUAACUUCUGCGAAAGCAUUUGCCAAGGAUGUUUUCAUUAAUCAAGAACGAAAGUUAGGGGAUCGAAGACGAUCAGAUACCGUCGUAGUCUUAACCAUAAACUAUGCCGACUAGGGAUCGGACGAUGUUAAUUUUUCUUGACUCGUUCGGCGCCUUACGGGA
This 541-nucleotide ribosomal RNA is filed under the name uncultured Glomeromycotina. RNAcentral's name for it is "SSU rRNA". It matches the Rfam family "Eukaryotic small subunit ribosomal RNA", at positions 548 to 1095 of the family's 1831-position model. The record is from RNAcentral. Lineage: Eukaryota; Fungi; Glomeromycota.